Molecule: ribosomal RNA, 566 nt
Filed under: Escherichia coli
Lineage: Bacteria; Pseudomonadati; Pseudomonadota; Gammaproteobacteria; Enterobacterales; Enterobacteriaceae
Description: partial 23S ribosomal RNA
Rfam family: Bacterial large subunit ribosomal RNA
Source: RNAcentral
UGUGUGUUAGUGGAAGCGUCUGGAAAGGCGCGCGAUACAGGGUGACAGCCCCGUACACAAAAAUGCACAUGCUGUGAGCUCGAUGAGUAGGGCGGGACACGUGGUAUCCUGUCUGAAUAUGGGGGGACCAUCCUCCAAGGCUAAAUACUCCUGACUGACCGAUAGUGAACCAGUACCGUGAGGGAAAGGCGAAAAGAACCCCGGCGAGGGGAGUGAAAAAGAACCUGAAACCGUGUACGUACAAGCAGUGGGAGCACGCUUAGGCGUGUGACUGCGUACCUUUUGUAUAAUGGGUCAGCGACUUAUAUUCUGUAGCAAGGUUAACCGAAUAGGGGAGCCGAAGGGAAACCGAGUCUUAACUGGGCGUUAAGUUGCAGGGUAUAGACCCGAAACCCGGUGAUCUAGCCAUGGGCAGGUUGAAGGUUGGGUAACACUAACUGGAGGACCGAACCGACUAAUGUUGAAAAAUUAGCGGAUGACUUGUGGCUGGGGGUGAAAGGCCAAUCAAACCGGGAGAUAGCUGGUUCUCCCCGAAAGCUAUUUAGGUAGCGCCUCGUGAAUUCAUC